RNAcentral lists this ribosomal RNA (1203 nucleotides) under Triticum aestivum (bread wheat). RNAcentral's name for it is "partial small subunit ribosomal RNA". The record is from RNAcentral. Lineage: Eukaryota; Viridiplantae; Streptophyta; Magnoliopsida; Poales; Poaceae.
AUGUUGGGUAAACAGGGUUGGCGCCUCCUGACGCACCCUAAUUCCCUAUGUGCUCGUGUACUCAAGGGUAAGUACUACCCGAAUACAGAUUUUCUGCACGCCACAGUACCAGCCCGAGCAUCAAGCAUUUGGCGAGCAAUCAUGGAUGGGCGGGAAGCGUUGCACACUGGGAUGAUUCACAGAGUAGGGGAUGGUUCGUCGAUCUCUAUCUGGAAUGACCAGUGGAUUCCAAAUACGGUAUCUCUGAAACCAAUGGCCCGCCUGGGCAGUGCGCCCCUUGACAUGGUUUCAGACUUGAUUGACGCUUACACGGGCGGUUGGAAUAUAGAGCUAGUCCGCCAAAACUUCCUUCAUCCGGAUGCCGAAGCAAUAUUGAAUAUACACUUGCAUUUGGGAGGAGGAGAAGACUCCUUGGUGUGGGCUUUUGAGAAGUCAGGAAAUUAUACUGUUAAAUCAGCGUAUCGCUCUCUAGUGACCCGGAACAAGCUUCACACUCUAGGGGAAGGGACGAUUACGGAUGCUUCAUCUUCAAACAAACAGUUAUGGACCGCACUAUGGAAGCUUCAUGUGGUGCCGAAGGUUCGAGUGUUCUGGUGGAGGGUUCUUCGCGGCAUCCUUCCUGACUCUAUGACUUUGAAGCACAAACACAUAAAGCAAAUUGGACGGUGUGAUAUCUGCAAGGCGAUGGAUGAGACGUUAAUGCAUGCGCUCAUCUCAUGUACGCAUGCCAAAUCUUUUUGGGCAGCAACUCGUGAUCGGUUUGAUAUACACCUGCCGAGCCUGCGUCCGGACACUUGGGCGCGUGACAUACUACUGGAUCAGUUGUUCACAGAGGAUGCCAGAUGCAAAAUCAUUACUAUCAUGCAUGCCAUUUGGUCCUCAUGCAACAUAUGGACGCAUGAUCAGGAAGGAUAUGAUCCACCAAUGGCCAUGAAGUGGAUUCAUGAAGCUCUCUCUAUCUUGGAGCUACCGGAGCGGCGUAGGAGUUCGAUAGCUGGGCCAACAUGGCGACCACCAGAGGUGGGCUGGAUCAAGAUCAACAUCGAUGUAUCAGUAUUCCCUGAUGCCCCUACUGGGGGAGCAGGAGGGGUAGCGCGAUUGCACCUUGCGCUGUUGGGCGCCUGGUGUAAGCCACUGCCAGGAGUAUCAGAUCCGUUCAUAGCCGAGCUAUUGGCGUUAAGGGAGGGGGUGAUCUUCGCCUAG